This is a long non-coding RNA of Alosa sapidissima (American shad), 1007 nucleotides long. RefSeq lists it as uncharacterized. The record is from RefSeq and is a predicted model, not a curated record. NCBI's taxonomy places the organism in Eukaryota, Metazoa, Chordata, Actinopteri, Clupeiformes, Clupeidae. The transcript is spliced from 3 exons.
CCUUCUCCUCGCGACUCCUUUAAGAGCUAUAACUCUUAUUUUGCGCGAACCUGCGGGAUCCGGUCUCACGCUGGACACAGCCUCGCCGGUAUGCGGGGUCAAGGUCGCAUCUCCCCGCGUGCAAGGUGAUUCUGAUCGAAUCGAAUAUUUACAGUAAGCGUUACACGUCCGUUUAAGAGCUUGGACACACCGGGGUGAAACGAAGAGCGCAAACUUCACAGUGUGGUACGAGUGAGGUUGAGGUGGUGUGACCCGGACUGGCGAUUUAGCCCGGCGCGCAGCCUACUGUGCCUCCCUGGUGGACUCAGCACGAGACAGGCGCUCCAUGCGGCAGCGCUCGUGCAGUCUCUGCGGAGCAAUAUGACGAAUUCGAGACUGAAUGCAGCUCCGGGUAAGCAGCGCGAGAGACCCCGACUAUAUGUAAGUAUGGCUCACGAGCAUCUGCCUCACUCUCGUUCAUGCGUCCGGUGUUUUGACACGUGACGCUUCGCCGCGAGACGUCUUCACUUGUGAAGCGUCUCUGCAUGUAAAUGCUGUCUGUAUUAAAUGGCAGCUGAGUGUGUGUGCAUGCGUAAGUGAUGUGGCAUGCGUGCAGUAUCCGUGUGAACAGUGAACUGAAGUGUGUAAGGGCCCUAUGAUUUUUUAAAACCAUCUGAAAAUGUGUAUCUCUAGUAGGCCUAUAUUGAAAUUAUGCAGGAUUAUAGACAAUAUUUGGAUAGGCCGAAACGUUUAGCAAUUGACGACGCUAAAAAAGAAUACAGGGUCCACAUUUCAAAACACAGAUAUUUCUAUUUUAAAAUAAUGUAUUUUCAGGAUUUACUCAAAUUACAUCUGGAAGUCAUUAUUAAUUAUAUGCUUGUGUGUCAUUGGAAACAAAAUAUAAAAUAGUUUUGGAAAUAAACAGAGAAUGACCUUGGAGGGCACAUUAAGCUCACAUGUAUCCAGAAUGUUCGAGUGUUUAUUGAACGUGGUGACAGCUCUUGCCAAUCCUGGCCAUGAACAGGCCA